RNAcentral lists this ribosomal RNA (402 nucleotides) under bacterium. Its description in RNAcentral is "partial 16S ribosomal RNA". It matches the Rfam family "Bacterial small subunit ribosomal RNA", at positions 355 to 776 of the family's 1533-position model. The record is from RNAcentral.
UGGGGAAUUUUGCACAAUGGGGGAAACCCUGAUGCAGCGACGCCGCGUGAUUUAGAAGGCCUUCGGGUUGUAAAAAUCUUUUUUACGGGAUGAAAAUGACAGUACCGUAAGAAUAAGGUCCGGCUAAAUACGUGCCAGCAGCCGCGGUAAUACGUAUGGACCGAGCGUUGUCCGGAAUCAUUGGGCGUAAAGGGUACGUAGGCGGCCUAGUAAGUUAGAAGUGAAAUAAUAUAGCUCAACUAUAUAAAGCUUUUAAAACUGCUAGGCUUGAGAGAUGGAAGGGAAAGUGGAAUUCCUAGUGUAGCGGUGAAAUGCACAGAUAUUAGGAAGAAUACCGGUGGCGAAGGCGACUUUCUGGUCAUCAUCUGACGCUGAGGUACGAAAGCGUGGGUAGCAAACAGG